Molecule: transfer RNA, 64 nt
Filed under: Rhinebothrium sp. BT-2021
Lineage: Eukaryota; Metazoa; Platyhelminthes; Cestoda; Rhinebothriidea; Rhinebothriidae
Description: Rhinebothrium sp. MZUSP 8032 tRNA-Gly
Source: RNAcentral
ACAUUAUUAGUAUAAUGAUUAUACCACUUUUCCAAAGUGGUGAUCUACAUUUGUAGAUAAUGUA